RNAcentral lists this ribosomal RNA (484 nucleotides) under uncultured bacterium. RNAcentral describes it as "partial 16S ribosomal RNA". It matches the Rfam family "Bacterial small subunit ribosomal RNA", at positions 30 to 507 of the family's 1533-position model. The record is from RNAcentral.
AUUGAACGCUGGCGGAAUGCUUUACACAUGCAAGUCGAGCGGCAGCGCGGCCUUCGGGCUGGCGGCGAGCGGCGAACGGGUGAGUAAUGCAUCGGAACAUGCCCAGUCGUGGGGGAUAACACUUCGAAAGAAGUGCUAAUACCGCAUACGUCCUGCGGGGGAAAGCGGGGGAUCGCAAGACCUCGCGCGAUUGGAGUGGCCGAUGUCAGAUUAGCUAGUUGGUGGGGUAAAGGCCUACCAAGGCGACGAUCUGUAGCUGGUCUGAGAGGAUGAUCAGCCACACUGGGACUGAGACACGGCCCAGACUCCUACGGGAGGCAGCAGUGGGGAAUUUUGGACAAUGGGGGCAACCCUGAUCCAGCCAUUCCGCGUGAGUGAAGAAGGCCUUCGGGUUGUAAAGCUCUUUCGGCAGGAACGAAACGGUGGGCUCUAACAUAGUCCGCUAAUGACGGUACCUGAAGAAGAAGCACCGGCUAACUACGUG